This is an RNA transcript of Camarhynchus parvulus, 4868 nucleotides long. It is a transcript of the gene named arginine and glutamate rich 1, with no coding region annotated. The record is from RefSeq and is a predicted model, not a curated record. The transcript is spliced from 4 exons. NCBI's taxonomy places the organism in Eukaryota, Metazoa, Chordata, Aves, Passeriformes, Thraupidae.
GGUGCAUUGUGGGGCGGGAGAGGAGAGUCACUGCUGAGCCAGGGCCGCCAUCUUGGCUGCGUCCGGACUCGCUCCCGCUCCCGGGGCCUGUUCCUUUUCCUCGCUGCGCAAAGCGGUGGAAAGGGAGAAGACGAAGGGCCCGCCAGGGCGGUGCUGAUGCGCGCAUAGCCUCCUCGCACCUCUCUCAGGCGCCGCUAGUAAAGGGGGCGGGGGUGGUCGAGCGGUGACCGGCGCGGCCUCUUCUCUCCUCUGCCGGGAUGGGUCGGUCCCGCAGCCGGAGCUCGUCCCGCUCCAAGCACACCAAGAGCUCCAAGCACAACAAGAAGAACCGGAGCCGAUCGCGGUCCCGAUCCCGAGAAAAGGAGCGGGCAAGGAAGCGCUCCAAGUCCCGGGAGAGCAAGCGGAACCGGCGCCGGGAGUCCCGCUCCCGCUCGCGCUCUAAUACGGCCCCGUCCUCCCGGCGCGACCGGGACCGGGACCGCGACCGCGCCUCCUCCCCCCCCGACCGUAUCGACAUCUUCGGGCGCACGGUGAGCAAGCGCAGCAGCCUGGAUGAGAAACAGAAGCGGGAGGAGGAGGAGAAAAAAGCAGAGUUCGAGCGGCAGCGGAAAAUUCGUCAACAAGAAAUUGAAGAGAAACUCAUAGAGGAAGAAACUGCUCGAAGGGUGGAAGAACUUGUAGCUAAACGCGUAGAAGAAGAGUUGGAGAAAAGAAAGGAUGAGAUUGAGCGAGAGGUUCUGCGCAGGGUGGAGGAGGCUAAGCGCAUCAUGGAAAAACAGUUGCUCGAAGAACUCGAGCGACAGCGACAAGCUGAACUUGCAGCACAAAAAGCCAGAGAGGUAACGCUCGGUCGUUUGGAAAGUAGAGACAGUCCAUGGCAAAACUUUCAGUGUCGGUUUGUGCCUCCUGUUCGGUUCACAAAGAGAUGGAAUACAGCAAAUCUAAUUCCCUUCUCAUAUAAACUUGCAUUGCUGCGAAACUUAAUUUCUAGCCUAUUCAGAGGAGCUCACUGAUAUUUAAACAGUUACUCUCCUAAAACCUGAACAAGGAUACUUGUUUCUUAAUGGAACUGACCUACAUAUAUUUCAGAAUUGUUUGAAACUUUUGCCAUGGCUGCAGGAUUUAUCAGCAGUCCUUUCAUUUUGGGGAAGUGUAUUAAAAAUAUGUAAUUAUGUAUCCUUCAUUUAUUUCAUUUUGUUUACCUAGACUGUAAGAGGCUUUUGCCUUCAGCCAGGCAAAAAGCAGGGUCCAGCAGUGAGCUGCAGUACCUGUCUUUAACAAAUAGGUUUCUUAUUCUUCAUUUAAAAUGAACAUUUUCCUUGAGCAUACAUUGGACUAAUUCUGGGACUUCGAGCAUAAGUCCAUCCACGUCUUCACGAAGGAUCUCUGUCCAAAUCAUUAUAUCCAUUUUUAAUAACUACUAACAACUCCUUUUUUUCUCCCUAGAAGUUAUAAAAGAGCAGCUUGCCCUUGUCUGAAGUCAAGCUGAACGUGUGACUUGGGUUUUUGGGGCCUUUUUUUGUUGUUUUGUUUUGUUUUUUAAUCAGCAGCUGGAGCAGAAGCUGAAAAUGUCUUUCUGUGAGACAGUAAUUUGCUACUAAAGGCUUUGAUGCCUGCCUGCACCAAUCAUUCCAGGAUCCAGAAAUUUCAAGACAAACUUCAAACCAUAGAGGAAAUUUGUGCUAAAUAGUCAUAAGUGUUAAAUGCUUUUUUCACUCUGUACAUCCUACACAGUUUAUUUUAAAUUAAUAUUUUGAUUGGCUUGCAAGAGACAGUAGCAUUGCAGCUUUCCCCUUCAUACUAGAUGUGACUUGUCAGUCACAUAGUAUCAAAUUAAAUGGAAACAAAUGGAAUGCUGAGUUACGAUAAAUACUAAAAAGAAUGAAUUGAUUAUACUUUUCUUGCAAAUUCAGACUUUAAUAUCAGAGUUUAAGUUGAAUUUCCAUGUUUGUAGUCAGCAAAUUCUUCAUAUGUAGAGGUUUUCAUUUGAUCAGACGGAUGACUGUUUUUUUUAAAAAGAGUAUUUUUGAUAUUGUUGUCAUGUGGAGAAGUCCCACUAGUUCCUUGUAAUGCAGAAUGAACCUCCAUGCCUGGAGUGAAGUGUGCUAGCUAGUAGCUGGUUACUAGUCAUAGUAAGAAGUUUUCAUAUGCUUGCUUUGUUCGUAUUAACUUUUUUUUCUUACACAGACACAAACCUCUGGCUAACUUUAAAUCUUCCAAAAACAAAAAUAAUUUGGAUAUAUAUUAUGUGAACUGAAACACUUCAAAAUUUUUCACGCAGUCUUCAUAUUUGAGUUGCAUAACAGAGUUCCAUAAAAUUCACCAAGAAAACAACAAUUACAAGGCUUUAUUUCCUGAUCUUGCCUUCCCUGGACUCCUGAAUUCCAAGUUCAUACUGCAGACAGUUUCAGCUGUCUUAAAAUUGUCAAAAUACUGAAUGUUAAGUCCAUUCUCCCCAUGAAAGAAGCCCAUAGCUCCAUGAAGUAUGGAUUACCAUUUGUAUUUUUCACUAACAGUAAAUGUAUUUUUCUUAUUAACUGUUUGCCUUAGGAAUGAUUUACAUAUUUUUGUUCCUUCUUACCAUAAACAUCUGCAUUCCUCAGCUCAGCCUUCCUUGUAUGUUGUUUCUUUAUAAAUGGUUGAGCUGCUGAUGCAGGUAUUGCCAAGCUAACAGUACAAAUCAUUUUAAAGAGGAAGCUGGCGCGUAUGGCAGCCGAGGAGCACACUCUGCAGGACACUGGACAAGACAGAAGAAGAGCGUGCAAAGCGUGAGGAACUAGAGCGAAUACUAGAAGAGAAUAAUCGAAAAAUUGCAGAAGCACAAGCUAAACUGGCUGAAGAACAAUUGAAAAUUGUUGAAGAACAAAGAAAGAUUCAUGAGGAGAGGAUGAAACUAGAACAAGAGAGACAGCGUCAGCAAAAGGAAGAGCAAAAAAUUAUCCUGGGCAAAGGAAAGUCUAGGCCAAAACUGUCCUUCUCCCUAAAAAGCCAGGAUUAAAUUUCAACUCUGAACUCUUAAAAGAAAAAAAGAAACAAACAAAAAACAACAAAAAAAGGAAAACAAACAAAAACUUUGUAUGGUAGCUUCAUGUUGAAGUGUUUUUUGGUUUUUUUUUUCUUUCUCUCAAAUUUUUUUUUGUCUUUUUUGAAAGUUGGAAAGUUAGCUUGUUCUAAUAGGGGCUGUGCUCUGCAAUUCUUAUUUUUUUUAACUUCCAUUAAGUUAAACCCUUAUCAGAUCAUCAUUGCCUUUUAGAGGAUAAUCUGUUUUCAUCAAUUUUGUUUCUGUAUUGGUGGUCUGAAGCAACUCAUGUCACUUUAUGAACUGUGGAUGAUCUGAUAAGGUUUUACUGACCUACUCAUCAGAGUUUGACUCUGAUAAUUGACAGAACUUUUUACUGGGUAUUGCUGACUUUUAAUGUUUUUAUUUUAAAGUCAGUAAAUACAUGAGUAAAUUGCCAUAGUAUUACUGGACCUCUGUGGUUUAUUGUUAAAUCAGUGUCCUAUGAUACUGUCCCAUUGUUGCGCUUGAUGUUCCUGAUACAGGUAAGGAAAUAGUUUGUCAUUUCUGCUAUGAAUACAUAGAGAGAGUUCAGUAUUGUCUCUGUUAGAUUUGUUUUUAUUACAUUGACAGCAUUCAACCAGCGUUCCCCAUUGUGUAAAUAAACCAAUUUGCUGAAUAAAGUGAAAGUCUUAAAUUCAUAUGUUUAAGUAAAUUUUUUUAGUACACUUCUAUAAACAGCUAUAAGAGUGACAAUUCACAUUAUUAAAUUCAAGACUAUAGUAAUAUUUUUUUAAAUUUUGCUUUAAACUACUGUGGCUUCUACUUAUAAUGCAAAAUCACACACAGUAAAAAAAUCCCUGCAGUUGUGAAUGUUAUUGAUAGCUGCUGCUGUUUUUAUGAAUGUUGGUUUUUGUUCUGACAGAGACUUAUUUCAGCUGUAGUAUCAUGUUUAAACGGCUGUUUGGCUUACUGCACCCAGACCGAUACUUCCGAUAUCUAAACUCCUUCAGUUCACCUCAUAAUAUAAUAUAUUGUAUAAGUUAAGGUCAUUAGCAUAUAAUGAAUCUGAUGGAUCCUAAAGGAUUUAAAAAUGGAAGUUUCUUCUCCCAAAGGACUGGACUGGCUAGUAUAUUUGAACUGAAAAACAGAAAGUGGGAUUCUGUCUAAAUACUUUGUUUUAGCCAGAAAGCAACUGUUAUACAGAUCUUGAAUAUUAUCCAUUUAUAUAUACAGGUUUUAUUUUGAAAAAUGAAACUACAGAUUGAAAACUAUAUAUAUAAAGUCCCUGAUUUUGUAUGUAAUUCCUCUACCAAAAUCCAGAUUACUAUAGCUUGUCCAGUUCUAAAACUCUUUUUCCUGUCAGCGUGCAACGUCUGUAGUAACCAUAAAAUGACAGUAACCAUAAAAUUACCAGUAGUUGGCCUGAGCAUUUGAAUGUCACUGGACAAAGUUGGAAAUAAUUCCUGAUAUUCCCAAAGGAUCUGUGUCUGUAGAUUUAGCAAAUUAAAUAUGGGAGCAAGUUGAAUGUGCCACUGAAAGCAGUAUUCAACAAGCUUUGUCUGAAACCGGGGCUUGGGGACAGACUGAUGUGUAUCAUUUUGUCCAGUAUGUCAAGAAAAUGUGAAGAUGGUAAAAUACCUACACUAUUACUGUGCUUAAAUUUGUCUAUAUAUUGUAUGACAGAAGAAGGUUGAAAGUUGCUUAAUGCAUAAAAACAAAAACUGAAGCCAAAUAAAUCAUGUACAUGACCUGUUGGCAGGAGCAGGCUGUAUUUAAAGAUCAACUGAUACCUGUAUUUCUAAAGCAGAAAACAUCCCCUGUUCCCUUAUGAGAAACAAGCUAUUAAAAGUCAAUACUCAAAACAGAC